Long non-coding RNA from Orbicella faveolata, 2178 nucleotides. The record is from RefSeq and is a predicted model, not a curated record. NCBI's taxonomy places the organism in Eukaryota, Metazoa, Cnidaria, Anthozoa, Scleractinia, Merulinidae.
GCAAAACAACUCCAAUCCGUUUAAAACAGGAAGGAAUGACAAGGAUAUUUGAAACUUUGAAUUAACGUAUUUCACUGAGCUCCAAUUAUGUUUUUAACCAAUUUGGGAAUUCUCGACGAGUUUAGAGAAAGUGAAACCUCAAUUUGUUGAACUGUCGAUUCUCUAUCCUCCCGAUUAUUCGACGCAAUUUUUUACCCCGUUCAAUAAAUUGAAGAAAUUUCUUUCGAACCAAAUUCCUUUGGUGUGGGAUUAAAAUUUUGGGAUUCCACUGUAUCUGCAGCCUAAUUUCUGAGUGUUGAAAUAAAAUGCUUCCUUCAUUAGGGUUAAAGGCUUCAGUAAAAUAACGCGUCGACCAAAUCAUUAGUUUCCCUGGUUCACGAAUGGAAAGAACUAAAAAUGUUCUAAAUAUGGGUUAACACAGGUAACUUCCUGGUAACAGCAUUCAAACAAGGAAUAAAAACAACCCAGCUCAAAGGCAAUUACCAAACCACGAAGGUAAAGUGCCAUUAUUUGAAGAUGAAUAGAUCACGAGAUCAAGCGUUAAACAAGGAAUAAAAACAACCCAGACCAAAGGCAAGUACUAAACCACACCCGUAAAGUGCCAUUAUUGAAGAUGAAUAGAUCUCGAGAUCAAACGUGAAACAAGGAAUAAAAACAACCCAGAUCAAAGGCAAUUAAUAAACCACACCCGCAAAGUGCCAUUAUUUGAAGAUGAAUAGAUCUCGAGAUCAAACGUGAAACAAGGAAUAAAAACAACCCAGAUCAAAGGCAAUUAAUAAACAACACCCGUAAAGUGCCAUCAGCUGAAGAUGAAUAGAUCACGAGAGCAAACGCGGAACAAGGAAUAAAAACAACCCACAACAAUACCACAAAGAGUGGCUAUUCAUUCCUGUACUCUCAUUAGUCCUGCCCCUUUAUGAUGAACAUAUUGACAUUUAGUUCCCUCUUGGGGCUAUUUUUAAAAACAUCAACACCCGAGUGUACCAACUCCUCGCACACAGGAAAUUUUCGAUUCUGCAAGGGUCGUGAAAAGGAUAUUACACUUGUUGGGAAAUAAGCUUAGACCACGGACAUGGGAGAUACCGCAAGUAAGUUCACCCCAGGUUUAAAGCCAACUGACAGUGAUCGUCCACAGAGCCACCAGAAGUAUGGAGGAAUUCAGGAAGCUUACAAAGAAGCUGUAAUUUAUGUCAACAAGAACAAGGAUGGCGCCUAUUGUACUAUUGGGCCGGGAAACUGGGUGAAAUACUGGAAAAAAGAGGAAAAACAAACACCAUUGGAAGUCGAGAAAGUAGAAGAAAACAUAAUUCUCUGCUACCAUGAAGAACUUAAAAUAAAAUUUCCCGAAGGGGUAGAUCCCAAAAAAAUGACAGCUUCUAAAUAUGGCGAUUAAGAGACUUAUGGAGUUUUCUGAAGAAAUUGUUCUUGCACUCAAAGGUGCACCUAAAGCAAUAUUUUCUGUGAUACUUUUAAACGUGCUUGUAGGCCUAUAAACGUGCAAUGGACAUAACCGGUAAAGCUACUCUGUUGGCUUCCUCAAUAAGCCUUAUGUUGUGUUUCUGCUUGUAAAUCAAUUCAGAUCUCUCCAUUGAUAUGUCAACCAACAACUUAGCAAUAUAAUAAUCGAUACCAUGAAUAACUGUUAUAAAACACAUUCAGGCUUUUCUGAACGAUUCAAAAACGGAUGAUCACUUCGCCUAUGUCACGUAACACCAAAAUUUUUUUUUGUCUUUUUCAUGGAAACAAAAAACCACCUUCAUAAAUCAAUUUACCAUGCAGAAUUUUGUAAAUAUGUGAAGUUUCCUAAGAAUCCGUUUUAAAUGCAUGGUAAUGUGAGACCCCACACAUUUACCAAUUUUCUCUGUCAUAGAGAUGUAUGCCAGGAGGUAAGAGCUACACAUCACUUUGUAAGAAUUGUCAAGUUUGGGGUCAAAUUUUUCCCAUCCUUUUGUAACCAACUUUUAUAAAACAUCGCACAUUUACUAAAUUCGGCAUUACAAAUUGAGCGGUGAGGGUUUUUUUCGUCUUAAUAGAAAAAUCUGAAAAGCGUGACAUCGUCGAAGUGGUGCUUUGGGUUUUCAUGGAAGAGUGGAUUAGUUUUACCUUCAUGACUGUAAAGCGAUAUAGAGCUUUGUAUAUACUCGCUAUAUAAAUAAAGUUAUUGUUAUUAUUUUUUUA